AGAACGAACGCUGGCGGCAUGCCUAACGCAUGCAAGUCGAACGCUCUUGGGGCUUCGGUCUCAGGGGAGUGGCGCACGGGUGAGUAGCGCGUGGGAACCUGCCCUGUUGUGGGGGAUAACCGAGGGAAACUUCGGCUAAUACCGCAUAAGCCGGUUGUCUUGAAGGAGAUGGCCGGGAAAGAUUUAUCGCGACAGGAGGGGCCCGCGUCGGAUUAGCUAGUUGGUGGGGUAACGGCCCACCAAGGCGGUGAUCCGUAGCUGGUCUGAGAGGAUGAUCAGCCACACUGGGACUGAGACACGGCCCAGACUCCUACGGGAGGCAGCAGUGGGGAAUAUUGGACAAUGGGCGCAAGCCUGAUCCAGCAAUGCCGCGUGAGUGAUGAAGGCCUUAGGGUUGUAAAGCUCUUUCGCCCGCGACGAUGAUGACGGUAGCGGGAGAAGAGCCCGGCUAACUCGUGCCAGCAGCCGCGGUAA
Molecule: ribosomal RNA, 474 nt
Filed under: uncultured bacterium
Lineage: Bacteria
Description: SSU rRNA
Rfam family: Bacterial small subunit ribosomal RNA
Source: RNAcentral